UACGUAGGGUGCAGGCGUUAAUCGGAAUUACUGGGCGUAAAGGGCUCGUAGGCGGCCAACUAAGUCAGACGUGAAAUCCCUCGGCUUAACCGGGGAACUGCGUCUGAUACUGGAUGGCUUGAGUUUGGGAGAGGGAUGCGGAAUUCCAGGUGUAGCGGUGAAAUGCGUAGAUAUCUGGAGGAACACCGGUGGCGAAGGCGGCAGCCUGGACCAACACUGACGCUGAGGAGCGAAAGCCAGGGGAGCAAACGGG
This 253-nucleotide ribosomal RNA is filed under the name uncultured bacterium. Its description in RNAcentral is "partial 16S ribosomal RNA". It matches the Rfam family "Bacterial small subunit ribosomal RNA", at positions 524 to 776 of the family's 1533-position model. The record is from RNAcentral.